AUUGAACGCUGGCGGAAUGCUUUACACAUGCAAGUCGAACGGCAGCACGGACUUCGGUCUGGUGGCGAGUGGCGAACGGGUGAGUAAUGUAUCGGAACGUGCCCAGUCGUGGGGGAUAACGUAGUGAAAAUUACGCUAAUACCGCAUACGAUCUAUGGAUGAAAGCGGGGGAUCGCAAGACCUCGCGCGAUUGGAGCGGCCGAUAUCAGAUUAGGUAGUUGGUGGGGUAAAGGCCCACCAAGCCAACGAUCUGUAGCUGGUCUGAGAGGACGACCAGCAACACUGGAACUGGGACACGGUCCAGACGCCUACGGGAGGCAGCAGUGGGGAAUUUUGGACAAUGGGCGAAAGCCUGAUCCAGCCAUUCCGCGUGCAGGAUGAAGGCCCUCGGGUUGUAAACUGCUUUUGUACAGAACGAAAAGGUUUCUACUAAUACUAGGAGCUCAUGACGGUACUGUAAGAAUAAGCACCGGCUAACUACGUGCCAGCCGCCGCAGUAA
This 500-nucleotide ribosomal RNA is filed under the name uncultured bacterium. RNAcentral describes it as "partial 16S ribosomal RNA". It matches the Rfam family "Bacterial small subunit ribosomal RNA", at positions 30 to 523 of the family's 1533-position model. The record is from RNAcentral.